Non-coding RNA from Lolium perenne, 1506 nucleotides. NCBI's taxonomy places the organism in Eukaryota, Viridiplantae, Streptophyta, Magnoliopsida, Poales, Poaceae. The record is from RefSeq and is a predicted model, not a curated record.
GACAGAGAGAGUUACCCACAUCGUUUGUGAAAAACUUGAUGGUGCUGACCUGGUGAACCAAAACAGAUGGGGAACAACCUGGAUCAAAAAGAAGUGGCUCGUUGAUUGUGUUGACCACUGGAAAAUUCUUCCGGAUCCAAGUUCUGUGGUACAAGAGGGUGAAAAGGUUGACUUGAAAUUUUUUUGGACCCCUGGACCGAAACAUGGCAAGAGAGAAACAACCAACAGAAACUGUGAUUAUACAGGAAACAAAAAGGCAAGAGCAGAAACUAUGAGCGUGGCAAGUCAGCGGGUGAAGAAGUCUUUGAAGUUUAGCCUGCAAAAAGUUCCCGAUGAAGCCAUAUCUCCAGAGCCAAUUACUCUGCGGAAGUUCGCAUCAGUUGCUAAAAAUCGAGUUAAAUCUGUUCAUUUCCCGAAGUCAACAAUACAUCAAACAUUGACAAGGGACAGCUUCAAGAUCUUUCUUCUCAAGUCCUACAAAGAGAUGAUACUUCAGCAAGCGGAUGGACUUUCAAUGGUACACAGCUAUGAACUUCGUCAGAUCUGGUAUGUUUGAGAGGGUGACAAUCCAGGAUGUUGUCAGAGUCACUGCUACAGCAUCAACCAAUAAAAGAGACAGGCAAAGGUUUGUUAUCAUGACAGAGAGCCUCUUUGAUGAGGACAUACCGCUGGAUGUCAAAGGUUGGCUCAAAAGCAUCAAGGAGGGAUGGCCUGAAGAAGUCAACCUGAACCAUAUCAACAUGGUCCAUUCGUGCAGUGCACUUGGCGAGUUUAUGAAUAUGAACCACUGCUUAAUCGCUGUGGAGAAGAAUGAUAUGGAAGCAUACAAUGAAAUAAAGGAGCUCAUAUCAGAACAUGAUAGCUGGGGCAAGAAAAAGCUCAAGUGGCCCGAGCUGCAGAUAAACAGAACCCAAAAGGACAGUAGAACACGUAAGGUUAUUGACUAUGAGGUGCAUGGUGCUCCUGGAUUGAUUCAUUUGAUCCGGAACACCUGGGAGCAUCCAGCAAAGGCGUACCUAGAAGAAUUUUUAGCCAUUGUUUUGAAUGAGAACAAGGAUAUUCUGGGUGAUUUGCAAAGAGCUCUACAGGAAAAAGGUUAUCUGCCACAGCAUGGGCUUCAGAUGUAGGUUUGAUCCUGCCCAUGCCGCUGAACCUCUGCUCUGUCAAUGGUCAAUUGGUGAUUGCAUAGUUCAUACUCUUAGCUGCCAAAGUUUACUCACCGAUCAGUCACACAUCACUCGCACAUAACAGUUCAAAAAUGAGAAGCCUUGCACAUAACAAUGGUUCAUGGUUCAAUGUACAGUACAGUGUAAACGAUGGCUGUUUUUGCGUUCAUGGUUGGUUAAAAUACCAUGAAGUUCCAAUAUAAUAGUGUGGGUUAAGGAGUCAUUGCACAUUAGGAUAUUCUUUUUGUGUGUUUUUGUGAACUGAAUUUGAAGAUUUUGACAAAUUUUCUGCUUGAGGUUUAUGUGUAAAUGUAUUGUAAUGAGAUUUGCCUGACCCUUA